Molecule: long non-coding RNA, 1033 nt
Filed under: Marmota monax (woodchuck)
Lineage: Eukaryota; Metazoa; Chordata; Mammalia; Rodentia; Sciuridae
Source: RNAcentral
GGACCUAAGCCUUCAAUGUAUGUUCCUUUAGGCAACAUUUAUGAUCCAAAUCAUAGCAGUUACCCUUACAAAACCCACCAUUUUGCUUUCUUCCUUGAUAAGAGAACCCCUCCAUUUUUUGUGGUGCUAGGGAUUGAAGAGAACCCCAUUUUUAAAAAAGGGUAUUCAUGUUUUUAGUCCCAGAGAAGAAAGCAAGGUAAACUUGUUUCCCCUUUCCAGAUACUUGCUUUCUCAAUCUCCUAUACAAUUGGACCUAGUUUUGACCAAUGAAACAUAAAAGGAAGUCAGCUGCAGAGUUGUGGGAAUGGUUUUUCUACCUGAUGAAAAGAGAUUGCUCCCUUGGGGAAAGCCCUUUUGUUUCACUCUUCUUUCUUGUUUUCUUUUUGCCUUUGAAAAUGUCCUGUGAAGAUAUGAUGCCUAGAUCCAAGACUAAUGCAGUUGAGCAUAGUGGGUAUGCUUGUAAUCCCAGUGGCUUGGGAGGCUGAAGCAGCAAUAUUGCCAGCUUCAGCAAUUUAGUGUUUAGGAGCAAUUUAGCAAUACCUUGUCUCAAAAUAAAGUAUAAAAAAAUGGGCUGGGUUCUGGGCAUCAUUGUGCACUCAUGUAAUCCCAGCAGUUUGGGAGGCUGAGGCAGGAGAAUCAGGAAUUCAAAGCCAGCCUCAGCAAUUUAGUGAGGUCCUAAGCAAGUCAGCGAGACCCUGUCUCUAAAUACAAUAUAAAGAAGGGCUGGGAAGAUGGCUCAGUGGCCCUGGGUUCAAUUCCCGGUACCAAAAAGGGACUAAUGCACAGAUAAUCAUUGAGAUGCCAACCCAACUCAGUGGUCUGACAUUGUGAAGUUUGACCCAAUCUUAAAACCACCCAUCUUCAGAUUUAUUUAGGAAACAAUAAGUGUUUGUUCUUUUUUUUUUUUUUUUUAAUUUAUUUUUUUAAUUGUAGUUGGACACAAUACCUUUAUUUAUUUAUUUUUAUGUGGUGCCUAGGAUUGAACCCAGGGCCUCGCAUGUGCUAGGCGAGCGCUCUACCAUUGAGCCACAAU